UAGGGAGUCCGGAGACGUCGGCGGGGG
This 27-nucleotide small nuclear RNA is filed under the name Arabidopsis thaliana (thale cress). RNAcentral's name for it is "snRNA_14354". The record is from RNAcentral. Lineage: Eukaryota; Viridiplantae; Streptophyta; Magnoliopsida; Brassicales; Brassicaceae.